Molecule: transfer RNA, 72 nt
Filed under: Cavia porcellus (domestic guinea pig)
Lineage: Eukaryota; Metazoa; Chordata; Mammalia; Rodentia; Caviidae
Rfam family: tRNA
About the family: Transfer RNA (tRNA) molecules are approximately 80 nucleotides in length. Their secondary structure includes four short double-helical elements and three loops (D, anti-codon, and T loops).
Source: Rfam by way of RNAcentral
AGUGGUAGAGAUCAGUGGUGGAGCAUUUGACUCCCAUACAUGAGGUCCUGAGUUCAAUCCUCAGUACCUCAA